RNAcentral lists this ribosomal RNA (253 nucleotides) under uncultured Eubacteriales bacterium. RNAcentral's name for it is "uncultured Clostridiales bacterium partial 16S ribosomal RNA". It matches the Rfam family "Bacterial small subunit ribosomal RNA", at positions 524 to 776 of the family's 1533-position model. Lineage: Bacteria; Bacillati; Bacillota; Clostridia; Eubacteriales. The record is from RNAcentral.
UACAUAGGGAGCAAGCGUUAUCCGGAUUUAUUGGGUGUAAAGGGUGCGUAGACGGGAAAUUAAGUUAGUUGUGAAAUCCCUCGGCUUAACUGAGGAACUGCAACUAAAACUGAUUUUCUUGAGUACUGGAGAGGAAAGUGGAACUCCUAGUGUAGCGGUGAAAUGCGUAGAUAUUAGGAGGAACACCAGUGGCGAAGGCGGCCUGCUGGGCUUUUACUGACGCUGAGGCUCGAAAGUGUGGGGAGCAAACAGG